Molecule: ribosomal RNA, 477 nt
Filed under: uncultured Clostridium sp.
Lineage: Bacteria; Bacillati; Bacillota; Clostridia; Eubacteriales; Clostridiaceae
Description: bacterial SSU rRNA
Rfam family: Bacterial small subunit ribosomal RNA
Source: RNAcentral
UUAAAGGAAUUGACGGGGCCCGCACAAGCAGCGGAGCAUGUGGUUUAAUUCGAAGCAACGCGAAGAACCUUACCUAGACUUGACAUCUCCUGAAUUACCCGUAACUGGGGAAGCUCUUCGGGGCAGGAAGACAGGUGGUGCAUGGUUGUCGUCAGCUCGUGUCGUGAGAUGUUGGGUUAAGUCCCGCAACGAGCGCAACCCUUAUCGUUAGUUGCUACCAUUAGGUUGAGCACUCUAGCGAGACUGCCCGGGUUAACCGGGAGGAAGGUGGGGAUGACGUCAAGUCCUCAUGGCCUUUAUGACCAGGGCUACACACGUACUACAAUGGCCGGUACAAAGGGCAGCGACACAGCGAUGUGAAGCCAAUCCCGAAAAGCCGGUCUCAGUCCGGAUUGGAGUCUGCAACUCGACUCCAUGAAGUUGGAAUCGCUAGUAAUCGCGGAUCAGCACGCCGCGGUGAAUACGUUCCCGGGCCUU